GCUCAGUUGGUAAAAGCACAAAGCUCUUAACCUUGUGGACGUGGGUUCAAGCCCCAU
This is a non-coding RNA of Triticum aestivum (bread wheat), 57 nucleotides long. The record is from Rfam. Lineage: Eukaryota; Viridiplantae; Streptophyta; Magnoliopsida; Poales; Poaceae.